CCCGCGACGAAGCGGUGGAGUAUGUGGUUUAAGUUCGACGCAACGCGCAGAACCUUACCUGGUCUUGACAUCCGGGAAUUCCUUGAAGAGGAAGUGCCUCGCAAGAGGAGCCUGGAGACAGGUGCUGCAUGGCUGUCGUCAGCUCGUGUCGUGAGAUGUUGGGUUAAGUCCCGCAACGAGCGCAACCCUUGUCUUUAGUUGCCAUCAUUCAGUUGGGCACUCUAAAGAGACUGCCGGUGUCAAACCGGAGGAAGGUGGGGAUGACGUCAAGUCCUCAUGGCCUUUAUGACCAGGGCUACACACGUACUACAAUGGCCGGUACAAAGGGCAGCCACUUAGCGAUAAGGAGCCAAUCCCGUAAAGCCGGUCUCAGUCCGGAUUGGAGUCUGCAACUCGACUCCAUGAAGUUGGAAUCGCUAGUAAUCGCAGAUCAGCACGCUGCGGUGAAUACGUUCCCGGGCCUU
Molecule: ribosomal RNA, 464 nt
Filed under: uncultured Desulfocapsa sp.
Lineage: Bacteria; Pseudomonadati; Thermodesulfobacteriota; Desulfobulbia; Desulfobulbales; Desulfocapsaceae
Description: bacterial SSU rRNA
Rfam family: Bacterial small subunit ribosomal RNA
Source: RNAcentral